RNAcentral lists this ribosomal RNA (254 nucleotides) under uncultured bacterium. Its description in RNAcentral is "partial 16S ribosomal RNA". It matches the Rfam family "Bacterial small subunit ribosomal RNA", at positions 524 to 776 of the family's 1533-position model. The record is from RNAcentral.
UACGUAGGGCGCAAGCGUUGUCCGGAAUUAUUGGGCGUAAAGAGCUCGUAGGCGGUUUGUCGCGUCUGCUGUGAAAACCUCAGGCUCAACCUGGGGCUUGCAGUGGGUACGGGCAGACUAGAGUGCGGUAGGGGUGACUGGAAUUCCUGGUGUAGCGGUGAAAUGCGCAGAUAUCAGGAGGAACACCGAUGGCGAAGGCAGGUCUCUGGGCAUUAACUGACGCUGGAGGAGCGAAAGCAUGGGGAGCGAACAGG